CUCGCUUUUGUUUUUGCACCUACAUCUCACAUUGUCCGUUAUCAUGUGAACCAUUCGAACAUGUGGUGGUUGAUUGUGUUGGACCGUUACCGAAGACAAAAUCGGGUAACCAGUUGCUGUUAACGGUUAUGUGUAUGGCAACAAGAUACCCCGAGGCCAUUCCUCUGCGAAGGAUUACAGCUCCGGUGGCCCAUCCCUCCCCCUGUGUCAUCGAUGGCCGGCCAGCGUAUACGUUGAGACACCACCUGAGGGUUCGACCACGGUGCAGGGGUUUCCAGUACCUGGUUGACUGGGAGGGUUAUGGCCCGGAGGAGAGGUGCUGGGUUCCCGCUAAAGACAUCUUGGACCCGGCCCUCAUUGCCAACUUUUACCGCCGGCAUCCCAGUCAA
Non-coding RNA from Salvelinus sp. IW2-2015, 389 nucleotides. The record is from RefSeq and is a predicted model, not a curated record. NCBI's taxonomy places the organism in Eukaryota, Metazoa, Chordata, Actinopteri, Salmoniformes, Salmonidae.